Molecule: small RNA, 158 nt
Filed under: Aspergillus ruber CBS 135680
Lineage: Eukaryota; Fungi; Ascomycota; Eurotiomycetes; Eurotiales; Aspergillaceae
Description: A. fumigatus sRNA Afu_254
Rfam family: A. fumigatus sRNA Afu_254
Source: Rfam by way of RNAcentral
CUCUCAAUCUACUACAAGCCUUUCAAAUACUUUUUAAAGACUUUUCAGUCAAACCACUACCAACUUUCACAAUGUCUCCCUGCGCAUGCAACUGCUGCUCCGGCAACUGCAACUCUUGCUCUUGCAGCUCGUGCAAGGUAUGUCUUCUUCUCUUCAAA